GCUUGCACGUACACCACCUUAGGCUAUGAUUUCAUACACCUAAGCAGGGUUGGGCUUGGUCAGUACUUGGAUAAGAGAUUUACAAGAAAGUCCGUUGCAGGAA
This 103-nucleotide ribosomal RNA is filed under the name Dromaius novaehollandiae (emu). Lineage: Eukaryota; Metazoa; Chordata; Aves; Casuariiformes; Dromaiidae. The record is from RNAcentral.